GCAAGGCGAUUUAGCCUGCAUUAAUGCCAACUUUUAGCGCACGGCUCUCUCCCAAGAGCCAUUUCCCUGGACCGAAUACAGGAAUCGUAUUCGGUCUCUUUUU
This 103-nucleotide small RNA is filed under the name Salmonella enterica subsp. enterica serovar Typhimurium str. SL1344. RNAcentral also lists the same sequence under 1 other name. Lineage: Bacteria; Pseudomonadati; Pseudomonadota; Gammaproteobacteria; Enterobacterales; Enterobacteriaceae. The record is from RNAcentral.